Long non-coding RNA from Daphnia pulicaria, 1267 nucleotides. RefSeq lists it as uncharacterized. Lineage: Eukaryota; Metazoa; Arthropoda; Branchiopoda; Diplostraca; Daphniidae. The transcript has 3 exons. The record is from RefSeq and is a predicted model, not a curated record.
GCACUUUCGUAGUAACCAUGCCCUGAGGAAAGAUCAUUGACGGAGAACUUUCAAUUUUUUUCUUAUGGGACCUUAUAACACAGACAGUGGGAACCAUUAUAUCUACAACCAUGGUUUUGACCUUGACUGCAAGAAUCAGAGCGGCGUGGCGCUGCCACCCUGGUCCAGCUAAAAUAAGAACGAUCGACUUCUCACCAUUUCCUAACGUGGCUACACCGGACCUGUCCUGGAGAGCAACCACGUCUCGCAGCAGCUGCUGUAGCAUCACGAGUGAAUCAAAAACUCUGGCCAGCUAUAGGUGACCAUGCAAGGGCUUCCCCUUUAUUUCUGGGCUGGCUUCCAUUCCGACGGAGCGAGCGGUGGAGCGGGCGCGGUGGCCGAGUCCUUUUCCCACCACUUCAAUCAUCACAAUCCGUCGCUGCAGGCCGUCAAGGAGCUAAAGCGGCCCCCGGUGGCCGUCGAAGAAAACAAGUGCCUCCUACCUCCAACUACACGUGAUACGCCUACAGGUUGAGAGGGGUCCAGCAUUUGGUUUCCUGGCGAAGUGCCUAGUGAUGAGAUCCUGGUGUCGGGCGACGGGAGGGACCGGAUCGUCUGAAUUUCGCGUUUGACUUUUAUCCUCCAGUUGACGGGGCACAACGCGCCGCUGGUGGCCAUCGACAUCAACGACCUGACGGGCGACAUCGCCAGCCCCUGCUCCGGCACUUUGCUCCACAUCUGGUCCAUCAACAGUGACCCGCUGCUGGCCAGCGUACACAGCCUUGGUCGGCCAGAUCGGCCGCUCGCAGCAGGCAGUUGACGAGUUCCCAACGAGGAAAGACCGGUACAAGUGAGAACGAAAAAACCGGCCGAGGCUCCUAAACUCGUCAAGGAAUCGGAAGGAGAUUCCCUCGACGAAGCUGAGCUACUCUGCAGAGAGAGGCGCGGUCCGUCAGCAGUCUGCCCAUCAACUGCCAACACCAAGCAAGGACCCGACAGCAGUAAACUAUUCCAGUUAUCUUUUUAAAAUCAAAUUCUUAAUACAUUUUUUUACAAGUGGAGUUGACAGACCAUUGACUUGGGAUCGAGGCCUUUUCUUUUUAUGGGAAUAACCCUUAAUUGCAUUCUUCAAAUAAAGAAUAAAGACUGAUCCUUAGGCUUAAGUGAAUUAAUGUUUGGGGGUCGAUCAACUUUGAAAGAGAAAGGCAACAAGUGUCGAUUGGCGCAAUAAUAUUUCUUUUUAGUAAUUUGAUCUUGAUGUGAUUUUUGAGAAAAAACAGGAAAAUUG